This is a long non-coding RNA of Aquila chrysaetos chrysaetos, 2321 nucleotides long. RefSeq lists it as uncharacterized. The record is from RefSeq and is a predicted model, not a curated record. Lineage: Eukaryota; Metazoa; Chordata; Aves; Accipitriformes; Accipitridae. The transcript has 3 exons.
GACGAGACUGCCGAGAUCACCAAGAUCUUUGAAAUGUGCUUUUUAACAGGAUUCAUUCCGGUUUGAUACAGCAGAGAGAAAGGGAAUCUGCAAGGAAUUACCCGGGGGCCUGUAGAUGUCGGCUAGACCACAGUGAGGAUGAAAGCAGAUGAGCUUUUUUUAGGACUCGGCUGAAACACUCUUUAAGAUCUACUCUCAGCAGUGCUUUGAGCUGAGCUGGUGGCUUUGAUCCCGAGUGGAGUGCGGUGGGAGAGCUCGCAGGAGCUCCUGUAGCGCUGCAGCGGCGAGCAGUGGGCAGACAGGAGAUUCUGAGCUAGUAACAGCGUUCCCAAAGCAAUCGCAACUGUUUUGGAGGACUUCUGUAAGCAAAGGCAGCAAAGGAGCAGGGCUGGAUUUUUAGCCAGCUGGUAACCACGCGGUGGAUGUGUCUUAAGCUGUAACCACACCAGCGCGCAUCGCACCCCCAUAGCAGAAUUUUUAAAACAUCACAUUCCUUAAAAGACCUAAUUUUGAAGGUGGUAGGAGUGUUGUCAGCGGCAAAACCUACUGAAGCUUCUGCAGCAGCAGCAGCCCCUGAGCAGCCAGGGGGAAAUGCAGGCAUGGCUGCUUGGAGAUGCUCCCCCCAGCCUGGGGGUCUGCACCCUUGGGGACGGACUGUGGGUCACCUAGCUCGGGCUGUCACCCCCCUGACAGCCGGGUCCUUGGCACCCUCCCACCCUUUCAGGAUCAGCCCUUUUCCAGCCUGAUUACAGGCCUGGCUGGAAAUGCAGACAACUCAAUGGUUUCGGUGUGAGUCACAGAAGAUUUGGUGGCUUUUCUCUCCUUGCAACUCCAGGCUCCCCGGGCUGAAGCGGUUAGCUGGCAGCAUCAGGCUCCUCGCCCGGAGGAAGCAGAUCUGCAGCCCUUGGACGCGUGGAGAGAAGUUGGGAUGUGUCCUGAGCAGGCUCAGGAGGAGCAAGCCGGCGCAGGACCUCAGGUCUCCCGGCAAGCGUUGUCUCACGCCAUUGGGGAGAGAAGCAGCAGUUCUGGUAUGCAGAGUGUUGCCCCAGAGGUCACGUAACAUCUGGGAGCUUGGAAACUGCUGUCAGUGAAUAGCUAUGGAAACACAUCCUGAAGCAAGGUGAAAUAUCUCAAGGUGAACCUCUGCAACGGGCAUCACCGACAUCCUGCCAGGGAGCCCAGUGACCCCAACAUCACUUCUCCAGCUUCAGCAUCGGUUUGUAAUGUCAACAUAACCCUCUGUUAUAAUAGCAGCCCUGUCAUUUAUGCUUACUUAUCAGUCUAUUUAUAAUACCUCUAAGCAAGCCCGUUAUUUAUUGGGAUAAAGUUGGCUAUCCAGAGAGGCUGAAGUCUGCACAGGGUCAGGAGGAACACGAAUACCCUUUUUCUAAUUCUGACACUAUAAGCCUCCCAAAGGUGAAGGCUGUCAGUACUAUUAGCAGAUAUUACUGCGCAACAGGAAGACAAUUACUGCGGGAGAACUGUUUCUCCUGAGCUUAAUGAUUCACUAGCACGUGUGAGUGCCAUUAAUCCCCAAGGGAGCGGAGGCAGCUGGCCUCGUGAACACACUACUCCCCGCUCAAGCCUUGCAGCGAUGCUGGUGAUGCUGUGGAGAGGUUCUCUCCUGCUCUGGGUGUCUCAGAAAAUACUCUGAGAGGGCGCAGGGCUGCUCUGCAGCUCACAGGGGGCUGGCACUCGAGCUGGACCAUGCUUUGGGCUUUUUCAGCAAUACCUGCUACCCUGCGAUGGGAAUCCUUACUUGCCUGGCAGGGUCUUUGCCAUUGAGCUUUUCCCUGCAGCAACAGCUGUGCCAUGCAGAGUCAGGUGAGAAGCUCAGCACAUUCACUCGCCUUUUAGGUGUUCAGGAAGCUCCUAGACCCUCUGUGGUCACCACAGGAGGGAUCACAGCUAGCCUUCAUGGACAAAGCAUCUCAAGUCCUUCCCCAACAGCAGCACUGGCCGCGUCACAGCCCCUAUGCUGGCUGCUGGGCUUUGCUGGGGGCAAUGGCUGGCCGGUUGGGGAUGCUUGCUCUCUGCCCGUGCGGCCAUGGGGCAUCCCGGCUACGGCAGCUGGGUCCUGCACCAGGCCGCUCUGCUCCGGCUGGUCCAACAUGCACAACACAAGCUGGCACGGGCCGUGGAGUAGUCGGCUUGUAAUGGAAAUGCUGCCUGCAGAGCUCCCUCUGCUCCUCAGCAACACUCUGACACUUCUGUGCCUUAUAUUACAUGGUUUGUAUGAAAUCAUAGCUGAUUUCUGAGCAUAAUAGGCACAAGUAAAGGUACGAUGAUACACAGAUGAGCUUACACCGGGGCUGCAAAUU